UUGGAGGGCAAGUCUGGUGCCAGCAGCCGCGGUAAUUCCAGCUCCAAUAGCGUAUAUUAAAGUUGUUGCAGUUAAAAAGCUCGUAGUUGAAUUUCGGGAUCAGUACGUUGGUCAUGCUUUCGGGUAUGUACUGGUGUUACUGAUUCCUCCCUUCUGACGAACUAUCAUGCCAUUUACUUGGUGUGGUGGGAAAUCAGGACUGUUACUUCGAAAAAAUUAGAGUGUUUAAAGCAGGC
Molecule: ribosomal RNA, 236 nt
Filed under: uncultured Glomus
Lineage: Eukaryota; Fungi; Glomeromycota; Glomeromycetes; Glomerales; Glomeraceae
Description: partial 18S ribosomal RNA
Rfam family: Eukaryotic small subunit ribosomal RNA
Source: RNAcentral